UGAUGUUUCAGGACCCCACUUUGGGUCUCGACCCCAACUUUGGGCACCACUGGUCUAGAGAGUAUACUUUCAGAAGGUCAGAAUGGUGAAACAUAACACUGUUAGAACAGGCAACGGGCCUGCGUGGCUGUGAACACAUAUCUCUAAAGCUGUGCCUCCCCACGUGAUUGUCUUUAUUUAUUACAGUCACCUGCUGCGCACCRGACGGACGCGGUGCAACGUGCCCAGCAGAGUUCCUUCUGCUGUCGUUGGCAUACAAGGUCUUUGAGCUGUAUUACGUCUGCAUUUCUGAAAUAUCCAACAGUAACCCCACCUGACCGUGGYWUUUGACCUCAGUUUGUCUUUUUGCUGCMCUACCCACCUUUUCAGAUUUCAUAAGGGCGUUUUAUUAAAUCAAACUGGAAUUUAACAUUGCGUGUGUGUGUGUGCGUGCAUGCGUUUUUGUCUGUCCCUCCCUCCUGUGUGUGUCUUGUGACUGGUAGCUUUGAUACCUACCUACUGGUAUCAUAUAACAAUGGCCCGCCUCACACAGUCCACCCCCGCUUCUCUGUGAGCUCGUUCAGCAGUCAUGAGGCGUGCUUAGGUGAUCUCUCCCACCCCCGUCCUGAUAAGAGGGCAUAUGGAGAAGUCACACAAUAACCAUUCUGUGACAGCGCCCUUUCCUUCGUCCUCUCAGCGCAGUCUCAUCUGCUACAGCACCGUUGCCCUUGACUAACCCAGGGUACACGUUGUAAAAACAGGUAUCAGAUAAGCGAUGGGGCUUGUAGUAGCACCUGCAAGUAACUGAAUCAACUCUGCACUCUACUGAAAACAGAAGACAGAUGUACCACUUAGUUAUGUGAUUAAUGCUCCACAAAUCAUCUGUCUCACUGUAUCUCAUCUGCUAGUCCUAAUGUGUCUCAUCAGUGAAUGAUCAAAGAGGAUUUACUCGAGGGUGUAAGAACAAGCUUCUUCAUAAUUUGGCCAAUAAGUUAAGAUUUGUCAGCAUUAUCCCCCUUCCUUUCCUUUCCUUCUCUGUUUGGGUCUUUCCUGACCCCCCCACCCCUCACCCCCACCCACUUACACUCACACCUCACACACGUUUCCUUUUAUGGCUAAUGCUGCGUUCCAUGUACCUCGGAGCUGAGAAGUCGGAAUGAGGUCCUUUACGAGUUGACAGCGAUCCAGCUUGUCAGAAGUCGUAAAAAAGAUGGGCGCCCAGAGCACCAAGUCUGUGUUGUUCCGAAUGUUUCGGAGUUUAAAAGGUUAUGACACAAAUAUGCAGACCACUUGAAGAACACAUCGGAGAAGGAUGAAGGUGCAGAAGGAUACUAAUAAGACCAAACUGCGGGAAAAGCAGCAAAUCAUCCUGAAUACUUGAACCAGGUGAAGGAGAGCAAGCCUUCAGACGGUUGAAGUACAGGUGGAGACGUCUUCAUGUUCUGCAGAACACCAGGACUGAUGCUGCAGCUGCUCUCUGUAUAACUUGUGCACUGGGAUGUCAGAAAUAUGCAGGAACACCCACAUGGCAGCCCAGUUGCAGGGAGAUGAAAUGUCAAGAACAUUCACCUUUUGUCCUGGAGGCCCUGUUUCUAACCCCAUUUGAUGAUUUGAACUUUUUUGUGGCCGUUGUAAGAAACUUCUUGGUGGAAAAAAGAUUAGAUUUAGAUUUUUUGAUUUGUGGUCAAAUUGAAAUGAAUAAUUUUUGUGGUGCUGUAUUAAUAAAGUAACAAACAAUCAUAUUAUGUGUUAAAUAGUGUUAUUUGGGAGAGUAUUUGAGUUUCAUUAAACAAGAGGUUUUUGCAAUCUA
This is a long non-coding RNA of Austrofundulus limnaeus, 1789 nucleotides long. RefSeq lists it as uncharacterized. The transcript has 2 exons. Lineage: Eukaryota; Metazoa; Chordata; Actinopteri; Cyprinodontiformes; Rivulidae. The record is from RefSeq and is a predicted model, not a curated record.